UUUUAAGGCGUUCGCCAGAAAUCCUUCAAGAGGGGUACUUCUUAAAGAGACGGCAGUUUAGAGUAAGGCAGAACUGGAUUGCAGAAUUUGGAGCAAAGCGAAAAAAUGCUGCUGUGAAGACAUAAUUAUAGCUUUCACAUAACUGAAGCCCCAACCAUCAUGAUUUAGUGCCCCCCAAAGGAAGAACUUCAGUGGAAAAGAGAGGGCAUUUCUGGGGACAGUAGAAUGCUUGAGACCUGAAUUUAAACUCAAGCUCCUUCAUGAAGGUAUUGAGUAAUAGAAGAAAAUGGAAUUGAAUAUGAUACCAGCAUGGAACAGUCUGUUGAGUCAUUAAGAGUCAACCAUAAUGAUUCCAAAGAGUCAAAAACCGAUUCUCAGCAUCUAAGCUGUAUGGACUCCAGUGAGCCUUCUUUUGGACAAGAUGGUUCCCCUAGAGUUUUACCCAUUACUACUGCAGUGGAUAAUUCACUCACAUCACAAAAUAUACCAGGGCCUCUGACUCAGACACAGACUCUUUCUGCAGAGCAAUUCCACCUAGUGGACCAAAAUGGGCAACCUAUUCAAUAUGAGCUUCAGUCAUUGGGCGAUUCUAAUGCGCAAAUGAUGAUUGUUGCCAGCCCAUCAGAAAAUGGACAGGUGCUGCGUGUAAUUCCAUCUACCCAGACAGGAACGACACAAGUGAUUGUACCUCAGGGGCAGCUUGUGGAUGUGAAUAGUCCUCAGGAUGUCUCUGAAGAGAAACCCAGUGACAGAAACUUACCAACUGUAAGAGUGGAUUCUCUAGCAGACAAUAACAGUAGUUACAUUCUUCAUCCACAAGCUUCCCUCACAUUGCCCAAAAAGACAGUGACCAGAAUACUUGAAGAACCCUUUUUGGCUCCACUCCAGUCACUUUCUUCUAACACACCUAUAUGGGCCUGUCGUCUUAGGAGCUGUGAGAAAAUUGGAGAUUCAUACCGUGGCUACUGUGUAAGUGAGACUGAAUUAGAAAGUGUCCUAACAUUUCACAAGCAGCAAACACAGAGUGUUUGGGGGACCCGCCAAUCUCCAAGCCCAGCCAAGCCAGCUACACGCUUGAUGUGGAAAUCCCAGUAUGUCCCAUAUGAUGGAAUCCCAUUUGUCAAUGCAGGGAGUAGAGCUGUGGUAAUGGAGUGUCAGUAUGGGCCAAGAAGAAAAGGUUUCCAGUUAAAAAAGAUCAGUGAGCAGGAAAGCAGGUCUUGUCAGCUCUACAAAGCUACUUGUCCAGCCCGGAUUUACAUUAAAAAGGUACAGAAAUUUCCUGAAUAUAGAGUUCCUACAGACCCCAAAAUUGACAGGAAAAUAAUCCGAAUGGAGCAGGAAAAAGCCUUUAACAUGCUAAAGAAGAACUUGGUAGAUGCUGGUGGUGUUCUUAGGUGGUAUGUACAGUUACCUACGCAGCAAGCUCAUCAGUAUCACGAAUUAGAGACUCCCUGCCUCCCUUUGUCACCUUCCCCUUUUCCUAUGUCUUCUCUUGAAGAAGAGGAAACUGCAGUUAGAGAUGAGAACUGUACAUUACCUUCACGUCUACAUCCUCAAGUAGCACAUAAAAUUCAAGAAUUAGUAUCACAGGGAAUACAACAAGUGUAUGCAGUAAGGAAACAGCUAAGAAAAUUUGUGGAAAGGGAACUGUUCAAACCUGAUGAGGUACCUGAAAGACAUAAUUUAUCCUUUUUUCCAACUGUAAAUGAUAUAAAAAAUCACAUCCAUGAGGUACAGAAAUCCUUGAGAAAUGGAGAUAAUGUAUAUAACUCAGAGAUUAUUCCAGCAACGCUUCAAUGGACUACAGAUAGUGGGAAUAUUCUCAGAGAGACUGUGACAGUUACACUUGCAGAAGGAAAUUCACAAGGAGAAGCAAUUUCCAGCAAAGUGGAAACAAAUCAGACAAGGGGUUCUUUGUCUCCAGAGCCAGUGCACUUGCUCUCCUCACUUUCUUCAUUUCAGCCAAAAAUAUUCACACAACUACAGGGUUUGCAGUUGCAACCAAGAUACACUUCUUCUGAUGGAUCACCAGCUCAGAUAUCAGUAAAUAAUCACCCCUCCUCCAGUCCUUCAAGACUUCUGGAUUCAGUAGGAAGUGCUGUAGUGAAUAAUAAUUCUCUACUGCUUGGUCAGACUCAUUGCCUUCAAACAGAUACAUGCCUAACCCAAAACAGUAGUAUUUCCUCUACCAUGGGUAACCUUCCAGGACCAGAUCAAAAUCUGGUUGCAGUGGAUCAGCUGGUGGAAGUUGGAGAUGUUGAGGAUACAGAGAAUCUGGAAGGAAAUGUUCAUCGGAUUCUGCUGGGGAAUGUGCAGACCAUUCCAAUACAGAUUAUAGACAGCCACCCAGCUCUUAUUGAAGAAAGUCCAGAAGGUACCAUUUCUGUGAACCAAGUUAAGCAAGAACCCAAAGAACCAGCAUUAUCUAUGGAAGCAAAAAACAAAUUGGACUGUAAGAAAUUGUCUGCUACAUAAAUUAUUGAAGCUUUUCAGAAUUUACAACUCUGGUGACUUCUGAUGUCAUAAAAAAGAAGGUAGGAACUGGAACUAUCAAUAUUUUCAUAACCCUCUAAAAUCUUAAAGAUGGACGUUCAGCAAAACAUGUUUCCUGCCUUUUUGGAGCUUACUUUCCAGUAGGGGGCGAUAGAUAAUAAACAUAAUAAGUUAUUUUGGAGGUAUUUUAAAGGAGCCAAUAUUUGACUGUCUUGGAGGUCCCAUCAAAAUAUGGUCAACUUGGAAACAGCGUGUUUUGCUGAGGCCCUUUGAGCCUCCUGCACAGGGUCUGUCCAAUGACGACGGUGAGGGACACAAAUCCAACUUAGCUGAGCCAAAGCAGAUGACACAUUUUUGGAUGAUUUUCCUGGAUUUUCCAGAUAGAAAAUCAUACCUGGGACUUCCCUGAUGGUGCAGUGGUUAAGAAUCUGCCUGCCAGUGCAGGGGACACGGGUUCGAGCCCUGGUCCAGGAAGCUCCCACAUGCUUUGGAGCAACUAAGCCCAUACGACACAACUACUGAGCCUGUGCCCUAGAACCUGCAAGCCACAACUACUGAAGCCUGUGUGCCACAGGUACUGAAGCCCAUGCACCUAGAGCCCGUGCCCCGCAGCAAGAGAAGCCACCACAAUGAGAAGCCUGCGCACCGCAAUGAAGAAUAGCCCCUGCUCGCCACAACUAGAGAAAGCCCGCACACAGCAACGCAGACCCAGCACAGCCAAAAAUAAAAUAAAUAAAUUUAAUAAAAAAGAAAAUCAUACCUGGAUAGAACCUCCAUAACAGUCUAAAAUAGUAGCAAUUGCUUGCAUUCUUGUUCAUUAUAUUAACGAGAAUGCCUUUCCUUUUUCAGUUAAGGUAGGGUGUGGGCUGUGUGUUUGUGAUAGCUGUUCUUGAUGAUGGAAAGGGAUUACUUUCUAGUUCUAUGGAAAUUUUUUCAAUAGCUUAACCUUAAAAAAUCAGGAAUGUAGAUUUUAAUUGAAAACUUUUCAACAUCAGAGAAUCUUUGUGUUUUUUUCUCCUUAACCUACUAAUAGGUUAAUUGAUUUCGUGAUUUUAAGCCAUCCUUGUAUUCCUAAAUAAUC
Kogia breviceps (pygmy sperm whale) is the source of this 3574-nucleotide non-coding RNA. The record is from RefSeq and is a predicted model, not a curated record. NCBI's taxonomy places the organism in Eukaryota, Metazoa, Chordata, Mammalia, Artiodactyla, Physeteridae.